Engraulis encrasicolus (European anchovy) is the source of this 638-nucleotide long non-coding RNA. RefSeq lists it as uncharacterized. NCBI's taxonomy places the organism in Eukaryota, Metazoa, Chordata, Actinopteri, Clupeiformes, Engraulidae. The record is from RefSeq and is a predicted model, not a curated record. The transcript is spliced from 4 exons.
AGUGCAGACUGUUGCACUUGGACCGGAGCUUUGAAUUAGCACGAAAAAGAGGCAUUUCUGCAUCAUCAUAGUACGCUGGGCUGGGCAGUGCACUUUACCCACCACACAGCAGCAGCAGCCCAAGACAGGCUGGCAGUGGCAGCUCCGUUGAAUAAUUGAGAGGUGAUAAGCUGAAUAUGUGGAACCUGUUGAAAUCCCAAAUGUGAGCAACUAUGCUGACGCGGUAGCCGAGACUCUGACCUAGUAAGUGAGAAAAUGGGCACACACUUACUGUAAGAGGUUGGAGCUCACCUCACCACACAUGCCUUCAGUACAGUCGUCACCAGUUCUCCAUUAGCCACCAGACUGUUGAAGACAGAAAAUGCCAUAAGAAGAAGAAAAAAAACGACCAUCUUCACUCCCGAGGUGACCACAGGUUCUGAGUUGUCAACCUGAGUGGGCUACUGCGGUCAUCAAAAGGCAAGGCAAGGCGUUCAUUCGCACAUUCGCCCCCAGCUGACAAAUCUGUCACUUGUGUCGUUCAAAUCGAAAGGCAUGUACAUUAAGUGAUGCAGGUUGACAUAAAGUGCACACAGACGCUGAUCACUCUGUAUACAGUGCAUUUGAAGAUCACGUUGAGUCAGUGGUACAUAAAGAAA